GGAGCCUGGUGGGUGGUCACCAAAUAUGUCGAAGAACACAACCAUGAUCUAAUAAAGAAGUUUGACCUAGUAAGAUUUUUGAGCGCCCAUAGAGGAUUCAGUCCUCACGAGAAGGAAUUCAUAAAGUUGCUACAUGAUUGCAACAUCGGUCCAUCAAGAAUGGUCCAGAUACUAUCCAUGAUCCAUAGCAAAAAUGGAAGUGUGAGUAGCAUGCCGUACAUAGCAGUAGAUGUCAAAAACCUAAAGGCAAAGUACCAUAGAGAGAGCAGGUUGGCUGACAUAGAAGACACUAUCGCCUACUUCAAAGAGAAAUCAAAAGUAGAUCCUGAUUUCUUCUACAGGAUAAGAUUGGACGAUGAGGACCGUGUCAGAAACAUGUAUUGGAUGGAUGGUGCGGCAAGAAGAGCCUACAAACAUUUGCGUGAUUGCGUUUCUUUCGACGUGGCAUAUCUCACAAAUACGUACAAGAUGCCCCGUGCUCCAUUCAUAGGAAUAAAUAACCACAAUACUGAUGGUUACACUUGGCUGUUCAAAACCUUCUUGGAGUGCAUGGGCGUACUUGCUCCUAUGAACAUAAUAACGGACCAGGACUUUAGCAUGUGUACAGGCAUAGAGGAGGUCUUUCCAUUGGCAGUGCACAGGAACUGCAGGUGGCAUAUUAUUAAGAAGGCUGAAGAGACGCUAGGACCAUUUUUGCAUACUACGCAACUCAGCGAGGGUUUCAAUGCUGUUUUGAAGCGUUACGACGGGAUUGUGUGCUGCCACAUACUCAAAAUAAUGGAGAUGGACGCGGUCAUGCAUUUUCCCCGCCAUUUCAUACGAAGGUGAUGGACUUGGGACGUCGACGAUGUGUUGGGGCCACAAACAUCAAAUGCAGUUUUGGUUGUACAUGAUGACAGACCGGAGGCAACCAUGGACUCCGUGAGGCACAUCAUAUUGACCAAGAACUAUGCUGAACUAAUAGAUGAAGUAUGCAAGAGUGAUGAGACAGCAAGGGUGGCAGAAAAGCAUAGGAAGGCCCUAAAAAGAGAGCUUGAUGAGAUCAAGAAGAGGAAGGCUGAAGAAGCCUUGCACAGAUUCCCCCGCACUUCAAAUGCGCCUUCAUCCAUGGGUAUGUCCUCUAAAAACUCGGAGGUAGGGUCUGGAACAGCAACCACGCAAACUCAGGCUAGGAACCCGUCCCGUUCCAUCACAAAAGGGCGUCCAAAAGAGGUGAGAUAUAAAUCAGGGUUAGAAAUUCAAGCAAAGAACAAGAAACCAAGGAAAUGA
Molecule: ribosomal RNA, 1269 nt
Filed under: Triticum aestivum (bread wheat)
Lineage: Eukaryota; Viridiplantae; Streptophyta; Magnoliopsida; Poales; Poaceae
Description: partial small subunit ribosomal RNA
Source: RNAcentral